This 211-nucleotide long non-coding RNA is filed under the name Capsicum annuum. RNAcentral's name for it is "long non-coding RNA (CANN_LNC008331)". Lineage: Eukaryota; Viridiplantae; Streptophyta; Magnoliopsida; Solanales; Solanaceae. The record is from RNAcentral.
GAAUUAUUGAUCCUGUUAGGCAACAUUACUCAUGAUCUACUUAUUUUAUACCCAUUCGUUUGAAGAAUAAAUUAAGAAUUAGUACAAGUAGCAAGAAUAAUAGAAGUGCUUCUAUGGUUUCACUCUCAGAUUGCAGCAGAGCUCUUGGCCAAACAAAAAAUAAGAAGGAAAUGAGAGGAUGAGAAGUUGAUCAACAUAUUAACACUAGCCA